UCGAGAAUCUUCCACAAUGGACGAAAGUCUGAUGGAGCGACGCCGCGUGAUCGAUGAAGUUCUUCGGAAUGUAAAGAUCUUUUAUGAGGGAGAAAGUUAUUGAUAGUACCUCAUGAAUAAGGAGUUGCUAAACUCGUGCCAGCAGCAGCGGUAAUACGAGUGCUCCAAGCGUUAUCCGGAAUUACUGGGCGUAAAGGGUGUGUAGGUUGUUAUGUUAGUCUCUUGUCAAAGCUCCCGGCUUAACCGGGAAAAGGCAGGGGAAACGGCAUAACUUGAAGAUACGAGAGGUAUGUAGAACUCAUGGUGUAGGGGUGAAAUCCGUUGAUAUCAUGGGGAAUACCAAAAGCGAAGGCAGCAUACUGGCGUACUCUUGACACUGAAACACGAAAGCGUGGGUAGCGAAUGGG
This 407-nucleotide ribosomal RNA is filed under the name uncultured bacterium. RNAcentral's name for it is "bacterial SSU rRNA". It matches the Rfam family "Bacterial small subunit ribosomal RNA", at positions 355 to 776 of the family's 1533-position model. The record is from RNAcentral.